CUCCUUUCCUCACUUCUCACAACCAAGAGUCUACAUAUAAAACUUUGCCCACUCAUCCUUUCCAUGAGACGUAUAUGAUUUAAGCUUCAAGGGACUGUGUGAUAAUGCUCCCCUCAUCCUAUUUCAAUAACCUUCUUAAUAAGUUUCCAUGUUUAUGUCCAGAUUGGAUGUUGUUCUACAGCAGUGAUGAUUCUGUAAUUUGAACAGAAUUCUGACUGCCCCUCAACUGUUGUUUUUUUCUACAACGUGCCAUGACUUGGACAGAAUGCUGACUUCUCCUGCUCUCCUCACCCAAGGGGUAAUACCAUCUUAUUGAACCUUUGCAGCCUGUCCUGGAAAGCAAAAUCCACAAUGACUCCUGCAAACUGUCUUAACAAUGCCGAAGCCAAGAUCUGACACAAACUCAUCAACAGCUCAUGUGCUCUGCUCCGCUUGACUCUCGAUCCCUGGUAAAGACAUAGCUCUACAACCAAAACUUGUGGAAUUAAAAUGAAAUUGUUGCUCACUAAACCGGAAGUUCUACAUUCCACCCAUGCUGGCUGGCCGACCACCUCACAAGAUCCUCCUGUCCCAGACUCUGAAUGCUGGUGUUAUAGGCACGCACAGCUUUUUAUGUGUGUUCCUGGGAUUCCAACUGAAGUCCUCAUGCUUGCAGAGCAAGCCAUCUUACUCACAGAACCAUCUCCCCAGCUCUUCUCCUACACAGUUCUUACACAGCCACAGUCUUAGGGUCAACUGUACAUAUAAAUUAUGGUCUACCCUGAAGACCACAUACUUUCAGAAGUCUCCACUACAAUCAUCAGUAAUUCAGAUUUUUGAAAUAUAUAUUUCACCUUGUUUUAUAUCAAAUGAAGCCUGAAAUCUAUGGACUAUUUCAGUGUAUAACAAGCACUCAGGUUCCCUAAUGUGCUACCUCUGGCUUCCGCUGUCUUAUCUUCCACGUGAAUAACAGUGUCAGUGUCUACUAUAAUCUGUUUGGGGAAGCCUAAUUCAUUCCAUAUACAGUUUUAAUGAUGCUUCAUUGUCUCGAUAUUGAAAAUACGGAGUUUAAAAGAAAUAGGAGUGUGCUCAAUAGAAACUGGAUGUUUCAGCCCCAUUGUAAUAUUGCAUGCUUGUUCAGAUAAGGAGGGACAAUGAGGGUCCCAUUUCAGGUGUCGGGUAUGAAGAUGCCCAGGUCCUGAUAUUGCUUGUCCUUUGAGUGCUACUGGGUACCUUCACAUCUCCCAAUCCCAGGAAACGUGUCUCAACUGGAUACUCAUCUCCUCCAUGAUGUCCCCAUGCAAACCCUGUCCCAAUUUUAAAUACUCCCUCUCCCUAAUGCAUAUGGUGCAUACCACACAGCAAGGUUUAACUUUCUUGGGGUCCUUGGAAUUUGAAUUUGUAUGCAUAACACCUGCAUCAGAAGUUUUCAUGUGGAUAUUCCCAGGCAGCUCACUUCACAGGAAUUAGUGACUUGGUGUACCCAUUCAUCUUCUCCAGUUACUCAAAAAUACUCAGAAAUGUAGAAUAUAUAGUAACAUAUUAUAUCAUAUGAAUAUGUAAUUAUGAAUAAAUUUAUGAUUAUACAACUUA
Mesocricetus auratus (golden hamster) is the source of this 1572-nucleotide long non-coding RNA. RefSeq lists it as uncharacterized. The record is from RefSeq and is a predicted model, not a curated record. The transcript has 3 exons. NCBI's taxonomy places the organism in Eukaryota, Metazoa, Chordata, Mammalia, Rodentia, Cricetidae.